RNAcentral lists this ribosomal RNA (445 nucleotides) under uncultured organism. RNAcentral's name for it is "bacterial SSU rRNA". It matches the Rfam family "Bacterial small subunit ribosomal RNA", at positions 346 to 784 of the family's 1533-position model. The record is from RNAcentral.
GUGCAGCAGGCGAGAAUUUUUCUCAAUGGGGGAAACCCUGAAGGAGCGACGCCGCGUGGAGGAUGAAGGCUUUCGGGUUGUAAACUCCUGUCAUUUGGGAACAAGGUGCACACGUUAACUGCGUGGGUAUUGAUAGUACCAGAAGAGGAAGGGACGGCUAACUCUGUGCCAGCAGCCGCGGUAAUACAGAGGUCCCAAGCGUUGUUCGGAUUCAUUGGGCGUAAAGGGUGCGUAGGUGGCGCUGUAAGUCGGGUGUGAAAUUUCGAGGCUUAACCUCGAAACUGCAUUCGAUACUGCGGUGCUUGAGGACUGGAGAGGAGACUGGAAUUCAUGGUGUAGCAGUGAAAUGCGUAGAGAUCAUGAGGAAGACCAGUGGCGAAGGCGGGUCUCUGGACAGUUCCUGACACUGAGGCACGAAGGCCAGGGGAGCAAACGGGAUUAGAUA